AUACGUAGGUGGCAAGCGUUGUCCGGAAUUAUUGGGCGUAAAGCGCGCGCAGGCGGCUUCUUAAGUCUGAUGUGAAAUUCUGCAGCUCAACUGCAGGCGGGCAGUGGAAACUGGGUAGCUUGAGUACAGAAGAGGAGAGUAGAAUUCCACGUGUAGCGGUGAAAUGCGUAGAGAUGUGGAGGAAUACCAGUGGCGAAGGCGGCUCUCUGGUCUGUUACUGACGCUGAGGUGCGAAAGCGUGGGGAGCGAACAGGAUUAGAUACCCUGGUAGGCCAGGCGGUAAACGAUGGAUGCCAGGUGUUAGGGGGGUCCAACCCCUUAGUGCUGAAGUUAACACAUUAAGCAUUCCGCCUGGGGAGUACGGCCGCAAGGCUGAA
This 377-nucleotide ribosomal RNA is filed under the name uncultured bacterium. Its description in RNAcentral is "bacterial SSU rRNA". It matches the Rfam family "Bacterial small subunit ribosomal RNA", at positions 523 to 898 of the family's 1533-position model. The record is from RNAcentral.